This 2882-nucleotide ribosomal RNA is filed under the name bioreactor sludge metagenome. Its description in RNAcentral is "bacterial LSU rRNA". It matches the Rfam family "Bacterial large subunit ribosomal RNA". The record is from RNAcentral.
GGAAGCUUAUAAGGGCGUACGGGGGAUGCCUAGGCUCUCAGAGACGACGAAGGACGUGGUAAGCUGCGAAAAGCUGCGGGGAGGUGCAAACGACCGUUAAUCCGUAGAUGUCCGAAUGGGGAAACCCACAUGGUUGAAGACCAUGUACCUCGCAAGAGGAGAGAACCCAGGGAACUGAAACAUCUAAGUACCUGGAGGAGAAGAAAACAAUAGUGAUUCCGCAAGUAGUGGCGAGCGAACGCGGAAGAGCCUAAACCGGUCUGCGUGCAGAUCGGGGUUGUAGGACCGACAAAAAGUUAAUCAAACGAAGUGGAAGGUGUUUGGAAGAUGCCGCCGCAGAGGGUGAAAGCCCCGUACACGAAAGGUUGAUUAAUGGGUUGGGAUCCUGAGUAGGGCGGGACCGGCGAAAUCCUGUCUGAAACUGGCGGCACCAUCCGCUAAGGCUAAAUACUCCUGAGAGACCGAUAGCGAAGUAGUACUGUGAAGGAAAGGUGAAAAGGACCCCAAGAAGGGGAGUGAAAAGACCCUGAAACCGUACGCCUACAAGCGGUCGGAGCUGCACUUCGGUGUAGUGACGGCGUGCCUUUUGCAUAAUGAGCCUACGAGUUACCUUGACAAGCGAGUUUAAGCCCUUCAGGGGCGAAGGCGAAGCGAAAGCGAGUCUUAACAGGGCGAGAGCUUGUUGAGGUAGACGCGAAACCGAGUGAUCUACCCAUGGGCAGGUUGAAGUUCCGAUAAUAUCGGAAUGGAGGACCGAACUGGUAAACGUUGAAAAGUUUUCGGAUGACCUGUGGGUAGGGGCGAAAGACUAAUCAAACUCGGAGAUAUCUCGUACUCCCCGAAAUGCAUUUAGGUGCAGCGUCGCCAAGAGUGUGUCGGAGGUAGAGCUACCAAUAGGGCUAGGGGGCUUCACCGCCUACCAACCCCUGAUGAACUCCGAAUGCCGACACAUUGCAACGGCAGUGAGGCGGUGGGUGCUAAGGUCCAUCGCCGAGAGGGGAACAACCCAGACCAUCGGCUAAGGCCCCGAAGUGAUCGCUAAGUUGAUAGAACGAUGUGGGGAUGCAUUGACAGCUAGGAUGUUGGCUUGGAAGCAGCCAUUCAUUUAAAGAGUGCGUAACAGCUCACUAGUCGAGUGGUUUUGCGCGGAAAAUAAUCGGGCAUCAAGCACACUACCGAAGCUAUGGGAGUAGCGAUACUCGGUAGGGGAGCAUUCUGACUGCGGCGAAGGUGUGCUGUGAGGCAUGUUGGAGCGGUUAGAAAAGCAAAUGUAGGCAUAAGUAGCGAUAAAGCAGGUGAGAAACCUGCUCACCGAAAGACUAAGGUUUCCUGAUCAACGUUAAUCGGGUCAGGGUUAGUCGGGACCUAAGGCGCACCCGCGAGGGGAAGUCGAUGGAAAACGGAUUAAUAUUUCCGUACCGGCUUAUACUGCGAUGUGGGGACGGAGAGGCGUAGCAACUGCGUACUGACGGAAUAGUACGUUAAAGACGGUAGGCUGUGAGAUCUGUAGGCAAAUCCGCAGAUUGAGCUGAGAGUUGACAGUACCGCGAGUUUUCGGACAAGCGGAAAAUGUUGUGAAGCGUGCUUCCAAGAAAAGCCACUAAGCUACAGGUAUAAGGCGCCCGUACCGUAAACCGACACAGGUAGUCGAGGAGAAAAUCCUAAGGUGCUCGAGUGAAUCACGGCUAAGGAACUCGGCAAAAUGGUCUCGUAACUUCGGGAGAAGAGACGCCUACCCAAGCAAUUGGGAGGCCGCAGAGAAUAGGUCCAGGCGACUGUUUAGCAAAAACACAGGACACUGCAAAGCCGGAAGGCGCAGUAUAGUGUCUGACACCUGCCCGGUGCCGGAAGGUUAAGGAAGGGGGUUAGCAGCAAUGCGAAGCUCUUGACUGAAGCCCCGGUAAACGGCGGCCGUAACUAUAACGGUCCUAAGGUAGCGAAAUUCCUUGUCGGGUAAGUUCCGACCUGCACGAAUGGUGUAACGAUCUGGACGCUGUCUCAGCCGUGAGCUCGGUGAAAUUGAAGUAUCGGUGAAGAUGCCGAUUACCCGCAACGGGACGAAAAGACCCCGUGAACCUUUACUAUAGCUUCACAUUGUGUUUGAGUAUAGGAUGUGUAGGAUAGGUGGGAGGCUAUGAAUCUGGCACGCUAGUGUUGGUGGAGCCGCCGUUGAAAUACCACCCUUUCUAUACUUAGAUUCUAACUUUCCUUAUGGAGAGGACAGUGUGUGGUGGGUAGUUUGACUGGGGUGGUCGCCUCCUAAAGAGUAACGGAGGCUUGCAAAGGUACCCUCAGCAUGGACGGUAACCAUGCGAAGAGCGCAUUAGUAGAAGGGUGCUUGACUGAGAGAACGACGGUUCGAACAGGGACGAAAGUCGGCUAAAGUGAUCCGGUGUUUCCGCAUGGAAGGGACAUCGCUCAAAGGAUAAAAGGUACUCCGGGGAUAACAGGCUGAUCUCCCCCAAGAGCUCACAUCGACGGGGAGGUUUGGCACCUCGAUGUCGGCUCGUCACAUCCUGGGGCUGGAGAAGGUCCCAAGGGUUGGGCUGUUCGCCCAUUAAAGUGGCACGCGAGCUGGGUUCAGAACGUCGCAAGACAGUUCGGUCUCUAUCUGUUGUGGGCGUAGGAGUAUUGAGGAGGUCUGGCUCUAGUACGAGAGGACCGGGUUGGACGCACCUCUGGUGUACCAGCUGUGCUGCCAGGUGCAGUGCUGGGUAGCUAUGUGCGGUCAGGAUAAGCGCUGAAAGCAUCUAAGCGCGAAGCCGUCUCCAAGAUGAGUACUCCAUUGAGGGUCGUGGAAGAUGACCACGUUGAUAGGCUAUAGGUGUAAGUGCAGUAAUGUAUUGAGCCGAGUAGUACUAAUUACCCGACAGCUUCCUAAU